This 598-nucleotide ribosomal RNA is filed under the name uncultured bacterium. RNAcentral's name for it is "bacterial SSU rRNA". It matches the Rfam family "Bacterial small subunit ribosomal RNA", at positions 340 to 929 of the family's 1533-position model. The record is from RNAcentral.
UACGGGAGGCAGCAGUGGGGAAUCUUCCGCAAUGGACGAAAGUCUGACGGAGCAACGCCGCGUGAGUGAUGACGGCCUUCGGGUUGUAAAGCUCUGUUAAUCGGGACGAAAGGCCUUCUUGCGAAUAGUGAGAAGGAUUGACGGUACCGGAAUAGAAAGCCACGGCUAACUACGUGCCAGCAGCCGCGGUAAUACGUAGGUGGCAAGCGUUGUCCGGAAUUAUUGGGCGUAAAGCGCGCGCAGGCGGAUAGGUCAGUCUGUCUUAAAAGUUCGGGGCUUAACCCCGUGAUGGGAUGGAAACUGCCAAUCUAGAGUAUCGGAGAGGAAAGUGGAAUUCCUAGUGUAGCGGUGAAAUGCGUAGAUAUUAGGAAGAACACCAGUGGCGAAGGCGACUUUCUGGACGAAAACUGACGCUGAGGCGCGAAAGCCAGGGGAGCGAACGGGAUUAGAUACCCCGGUAGUCCUGGCCGUAAACGAUGGGUACUAGGUGUAGGAGGUAUCGACACCUUCUGUGCCGGAGUUAACGCAAUAAGUACCCCGCCUGGGGAGUACGACCGCAAGGUUGAAACUCAAAGGAAUUGACGGGGGCCCGCACAAG